Molecule: ribosomal RNA, 468 nt
Filed under: uncultured bacterium
Lineage: Bacteria
Description: partial 16S ribosomal RNA
Rfam family: Bacterial small subunit ribosomal RNA
Source: RNAcentral
GACGAACGCUGGCGGCGUGCUUAACACAUGCCAGUCGAACGGAAAGGCCCUGCUUUUGUGGGGUGCUCGAGUGGCGAACGGGUGAGUAACACGUGAGUAACCUGCCCUUGACUUUGGGAUAACUUCAGGAAACUGGGGCUAAUACCGGAUAGGAGCUCCUGCUGCAUGGUGGGGGUUGGAAAGUUUCGGCGGUUGGGGAUGGACUCGCGGCUUAUCAGCUUGUUGGUGGGGUAGUGGCUUACCAAGGCUUUGACGGGUAGCCGGCCUGAGAGGGUGACCGGCGACAUUGGGACUGAGAGACGGCGCAGACUCCUACGGGAGGCAGCAGUGGGGAGUAUUGCAGAAUGGGCGGAAGCCUGAUGUAGCAACGCCGCGUGCGGGAUGACGGCCUUCGGGUUGUAAACCGCUUUCGCCUGUGACGAAGCGUGAGUGACGGUAAUGGGUAAAGAAGCACCGGCUAACUACGUG